CUUGAUUAAACCAUAAGAGGUCCAGCCUGCCCAGUGACAUUGUUCAACGGCCGCGGUAUCCUAACCGUGCGAAGGUAGCGUAAUCACUUGUCCUUUAAAUGAAGACUAGUAUGAAUGGCCCCACGAAAGCUAUACUGUCUCCUUUUUCUAAUCAGUUAAACUAAUCUCCCCGUGAAGAAGCGGGGAUAAACAUAUAAGACGAGAAGACCCUAUGGAGCUUCAAACAACUGAAACACUUGUAUAUCCUCCCUCACCUGCCAACAUUUAACCUCACAUUUUGUUUCUAGUUUUAGGUUGGGGUGACCACGGAGAAAAAACUAACCUCCACGACGAAAGAGACAUCUCUAAACAAAAAGCUACAUCUUUAUGUAUUAACACAUUAACCUUUAUUGACCCA
Molecule: ribosomal RNA, 397 nt
Filed under: Anomaloglossus baeobatrachus
Lineage: Eukaryota; Metazoa; Chordata; Amphibia; Anura; Aromobatidae
Description: partial large subunit ribosomal RNA
Rfam family: Bacterial large subunit ribosomal RNA
Source: RNAcentral